Molecule: long non-coding RNA, 520 nt
Filed under: Homo sapiens (human)
Lineage: Eukaryota; Metazoa; Chordata; Mammalia; Primates; Hominidae
Description: non-protein coding lnc-PEAK1-1:17
Source: RNAcentral
AGUGUCAGUUGCUCGGCGGCGGCGGCCGUGGUCACCAGGAAGGGGACGGGACGGACGGUGAUGGUGGUCGCCGCGGCGGCGUGUGCGCCCCUCAGGAAAAGAAUACUUGAGAUCCAUUUGUAAGGAAAGAAAAGGAAGCAACAACAUAAUGCCCAGAGUUGGAGCCAAUUAAACCAGACGAGUCUCACUCUGUCGCCCAGGCUGGAGUGCGGUGGCGUGAUCUUGGCUCACUGCAACCUCUGCCUUCCGGGUUCGAGUAAUUCUCCUGCCUCAGCCUCCCAAGCAGCUGGGUCUACAGUAAACAUUGCUAUCUUCAGAAAUUAAGGAAUGAGAGGCAAGGAAGAAAGGACAUUCAUCUUGGAAAGACCCAAAGCACCUUGAAAUUUGGAAGGAAUGUUUUGCUAGCUGCUAAAACCACCUUUGUCACCAGAAUGAAUGAAGUGCUUCAGAUUUAAAUAAUUGAUCAUUCUUAGAAGAGCUGCUGUAACACAUAGGGGAAGUGAAAACUAACAGAUGAAAG